GACGAACGCUGGUUUCGUGCUUAACACAUGCAAGUCGAACGGAAAGGCCCUGCUUUUGUGGGGUGCUCGAGUGGCGAACGGGUGAGUAACACGUGAGUAACCUGCCCUUGACUUUGGGAUAACUUCAGGAAACUGGGGCUAAUACCGGAUAGGAGCUCCUGCUGCAUGGUGGGGGUUGGAAAGUUUCGGCGGUUGGGGAUGGACUCGCGGCUUAUCAGCUUGUUGGUGGGGUAGUGGCUUACCAAGGCUUUGACGGGUAGCCGGCCUGAGAGGGUGACCGGCCACAUUGGGACUGAGAUACGGCCCAGACUCCUACGGGAGGCAGCAGUGGGGAAUAUUGCACAAUGGGCGGAAGCCUGAUGCAGCAACGCCGCGUGCGGGAUGACGGCCUUCGGGUUGUAAACCGCUUUCGCCUGUGACGAAGCGUGAGUGACGGUAAUGGGUAAAGAAGCACCGGCUAACUACGUGCCAGCAGCCGCGGUGAUACGUAGGGUGCGAGCGUUGUCCGGAUUUAUUGGGCGUAAAGGGCUCGUAGGUGGUUGAUCGCGUCGGAAGUGUAAUCUUGGGGCUUAACCCUGAGCGUGCUUUCGAUACGGGUUGACUUGAGGAAGGUAGGGGAGAAUGGAAUUCCUGGUGGAGCGGUGGAAUGCGCAGAUAUCAGGAGGAACACCAGUGGCGAAGGCGGUUCUCUGGGCCUUUCCUGACGCUGAGGAGCGAAAGCGUGGGGAGCGAACAGGCUUAGAUACCCUGGUAGUCCACGCUGUAAACGGUGGGUACUAGGUGUGGGGUCCAUUCCACGGGUUCCGUGCCGUAGCUAACGCUUUAAGUACCCCGCCUGGGGAGUACGGCCGCAAGGCUAAAACUCAAAGGAAUUGACGGGGCCCCGCACAAGCGGCGGAGCAUGCGGAUUAAUUCGAUGCAACGCGUAGAACCUUACCUGGGUUUGACAUGGAUCGGGAGCGCUCAGAGAUGGGUGUGCCUCUUUUGGGGUCGGUUCACAGGUGGUGCAUGGCUGUCGUCAGCUCGUGUCGUGAGAUGUUGGGUUAAGUCCCGCAACGAGCGCAACCCUUGUUCACUGUUGCCAGCACGUUAUGGUGGGGACUCAGUGGAGACCGCCGGGGUCAACUCGGAGGAAGGUGGGGAUGACGUCAAGUCAUCAUGCCCCUUAUGUCCAGGGCUUCACGCAUGCUACAAUGGCCGGUACAGAGAGUGGCGAGCCUGUGAGGGUGAGCGAAUCUCGGAAAGCCGGUCUCAGUUCGGAUUGGGGUCUGCAACUCGACCUCAUGAAGUCGGAGUCGCUAGUAAUCGCAGAUCAGCAACGCUGCGGUGAAUACGUUCCCGGG
Molecule: ribosomal RNA, 1343 nt
Filed under: uncultured bacterium
Lineage: Bacteria
Description: 16S ribosomal RNA
Rfam family: Bacterial small subunit ribosomal RNA
Source: RNAcentral